This 528-nucleotide ribosomal RNA is filed under the name uncultured bacterium. Its description in RNAcentral is "bacterial SSU rRNA". It matches the Rfam family "Bacterial small subunit ribosomal RNA", at positions 9 to 524 of the family's 1533-position model. The record is from RNAcentral.
GAGUUUGAUCGUGGCUCAGGACGAACGCUGGCGGCGCGCUUAACACAUGCAAGUCGAGCGAGAACCAGGCCUUCGGGCCUGGGAAAGCGGCGAACGGGUGAGUAACACGUGGGUAACCCACCCUUGGUACCGGGAUAGCCCGAGGAAACUCGGAUUAAUACCGGAUGGCCCAACAGCUUCUCGGAGCGGUUGGAAAAGGUAGCUUCGGCCUCCGACCAAGGACGGGCCCGCGGUGGAUUAGCUUGUUGGUGAGGUAACGGCUCACCAAGGCUUCGAUCCAUAGCUGGUCUGAGAGGACGAUCAGCCACACUGAGACUGAGACACGGCCCAGACUCCUACGGGAGGCAGCAGUGGGGAAUCUUGCGCAAUGGGCGAAAGCCUGACGCAGCGACGCCGCGUGGGGGAAGAAGGCUUUCGGGUUGUAAACCCCCUUUCAGGAAGGACGAAGCCACUCGGGUUAAUAGCCCAGAGGGUGACGGUACUUCCAGAAGAAGCCCCGGCUAACUACGUGACAGCCGCCGCCGUAAC